This 338-nucleotide ribosomal RNA is filed under the name uncultured bacterium. RNAcentral describes it as "bacterial SSU rRNA". It matches the Rfam family "Bacterial small subunit ribosomal RNA", at positions 32 to 342 of the family's 1533-position model. The record is from RNAcentral.
AAUCAACGCUGGCGGCGUGCCUCAGACAUGCAAGUCGAACGCGAAAUUUCCCUUCGGGGAGAAAGUAGAGUGGCGCACGGGUGAGUAACACGUAGGUAAUUUGCCUUUGGGUGGGGAAUAACUCAGGGAAACUUGAGCUAAUACCGCAUAAUGCAGCGGCUCGACAUCGAGACAGUUGUUAAAGCGGGGGAUUGGAGGCAAUCCGACCUCGCGCCUAAAGAGAAGCCUGCGGCAGAUUAGCUAGUUGGUAAGGUAAUGGCUUACCAAGGCGACGAUCUGUAACCGGCCUGAGAGGGCGGUCGGUCACACUGACACUGACAUACGGGUCAGACUCCUAC